CUGGGCUACCACAUGCAAGGCGAGCGGCAGCACAUGGGAGUUUACUCGUGUGGUGGCGAGGGGGGGACGGGUGAGUAUUGCGUAGGGUUCUGCCCAGUCGAGGGGGAUAACAGUUGGAUACGACUGCUAAUACCGCAUACGCCCUACGGGGGAAAGAGGGUGACCUUCGGGCCUCUCGCGAUAGGAUGAACCUAGGUGGGAUUAGCUAGUUGGUGAGGUAAUGUCUCAC
RNAcentral lists this ribosomal RNA (229 nucleotides) under Shewanella xiamenensis. RNAcentral's name for it is "partial 16S ribosomal RNA". It matches the Rfam family "Bacterial small subunit ribosomal RNA", at positions 43 to 268 of the family's 1533-position model. Lineage: Bacteria; Pseudomonadati; Pseudomonadota; Gammaproteobacteria; Alteromonadales; Shewanellaceae. The record is from RNAcentral.